UACGUAGGGGGCAAGCGUUGUCCGGAUUUAUUGGGCGUAAAGAGCGUGUAGGCGGCCAGAUAGGUCCGUUGUGAAAACUGGAGGCUUAACCUCCAGCUGUCGAUGGAAACCAUCUGGCUAGAGUCCGGAAGAGGAGAGUGGAAUUCCUGGUGUAGCGGUGAAAUGCGCAGAUAUCAGGAGGAACACCGGUGGCGAAGGCGGGACUCUGGGCCGAUACUGACGCUGAGGAGCGAAAGCGUGGGGAGCGAACAGG
This 253-nucleotide ribosomal RNA is filed under the name uncultured bacterium. RNAcentral's name for it is "partial 16S ribosomal RNA". It matches the Rfam family "Bacterial small subunit ribosomal RNA", at positions 524 to 776 of the family's 1533-position model. The record is from RNAcentral.